Long non-coding RNA from Chenopodium quinoa (quinoa), 1651 nucleotides. RefSeq lists it as uncharacterized. The record is from RefSeq and is a predicted model, not a curated record. Lineage: Eukaryota; Viridiplantae; Streptophyta; Magnoliopsida; Caryophyllales; Amaranthaceae. The transcript is spliced from 3 exons.
AUAAGAGAUUGAACCCGCCCUAAAUAGACCACUACUUAAUACUUUUGAUAUUCAUGCGCCCUUUUCGAUCAACAUGCAUCAAGUUAACCUGAAACCUGUUUAAUCUACGUCACUUGAUUAUUAGUCUUGGUCUAGUAGUUGUUGUACAAAAAAUUUGGCAACACUUUUCAACGAGUGAGUCAAAGAUUGUAUGUGACAACAGUUUACUAUCCUUAAAAAAAAAAAAAAAAAAAAAAAAAAAAGGAGGGUGUAAUAUGGGAUAUGAAAAUUUUCAUUAGAGCAGUUCUAAUUUUUGGUUUCCCACUCUGUUUUCAUUAUUUCCCACUCUUCUAAAUAUAAUUCACCAAAUUAAACUCUAAUUUUCAUUUCUAUCUCCUCACUCACUUCUCACUUCUCACUUCUCAGAUUAGUUUGUGUUCUCACUUCAAUUCAUUAAUCCCACCGCAAUUAAUUGGAGAAUUUCGUUGAUUGCUAAAAAGGGCUGAUUAUAUAGCGAAAUUCAUCUAUCUUCAAGAUUGACAAACAAGAAUAAUGAAAAAUGGAAGUAAUUAAGAAGCCUAAAAUUGCCUUGAAGUCCAUUUUAACACCUUAUGAGAAAGUAAGGUCCAUGACUAUAGAAAAAAUUGCCCAGAGGUUUAGAGAAUUAGGGCUCGACAAGAUUGCUCAACAAUUGUUGGAAAAAAAUAAGAACCUUGCAAAAGGAAAGGAAAAUGUGAAUUCUAAUGUAGAUGAUCCAGACUAUGUACCUGGUGAAGAAAAUUGUGACCUUGAGGAUUUUGAGAUGUCUUGAGAUAGAGAGGUUUUAACUUAAGCAACGUCCUUCAUAUCUAAGAAGAAGGCAAGAACUAAAGAUCAACUACUUAGGAAGAAUAAGAAGCAGCCAUUGUGCCCAUCUAUGGCAAUGGACGAUUUUCUUGUUGCUUAAAAUCAAAUGGAUCCAGCUGAAGUACGACAAAUAGAGCAAGAUGUACAGCAAUUAGAGCAAGAUCGACAAAGAUCUAAGCGACCGCUUUCGACCAUUGUUCCACUAGAAAGCCGAGGAGAAUCUAUUUCCGCACAAGGUUUGUCUUGAAUACUCCACCCCUUAAAAAUCAUGAAAAAUCAUAUGGUCUUGUAACCUUUUUAGUUAUUCAAUCCAAGAUUAGACAACUUUCUAUAAUAUGCUUCUUCUCUUAUUAUAUAAGUAAUUAGCAAUGAACAAACUGCAAGCUAAGUACCAUUAUAAAAUCAAACGUAAUUAUGUACUGGUUGAAGCAAGUUUUGAAGAGAUGAUUAUUAGAUGAUUUCGUUUUAUGAUUUUAUAUUUUUGUGUGUGAAAAAGUUCAGGAAAGAUUGGAAAGGUGGUCUCAAGUCUUGAUGAAAAGACUGUUAUCCAUGAUUUGACUUCCGUAACUUCAAUUGUUCAUAGAUAAGCAGUAGUUGGUGGACUUGAUUUCCUUUUAUAGAUAAUGGUUCUAUGUAUCUGACAGUUAAAUGUUGUAAAACCUAAUCAUCAACUUAGAUGCCUAUAUGCUCUUUAUGAAUAGUAUGUAGUAUCCUAAAUUCAUAAUGGAUUCACUUCUUUGAUUUGUAAAUUGUAAGAACUUCCUUAGAGUUUCAUUGUACAUAGAGUACUCUAUUGCAUAGCAUAUUAGCAUGUUAUUGCUCUCAA